UACAGAGGUCUCAAGCGUUGUUCGGAUUCAUUGGGCGUAAAGGGUGCGUAGGUGGCGCCGUAAGUCAGGUGUGAAAUCCCGGGGCUUAACCCCGGGUCUGCAUUCGAUACGGGCUGACUAGAGUUCGGCAGGGGAGACUGGAAUUCCUGGUGUAGCGGUGAAAUGCGCAGAUAUCAGGAGGAACACCGGUGGCGAAGGCGGGUCUCUGGGCCGAUACUGACGCUGAGGAGCGAAAGCGUGGGGAGCGAACAGG
RNAcentral lists this ribosomal RNA (253 nucleotides) under uncultured bacterium. RNAcentral's name for it is "partial 16S ribosomal RNA". It matches the Rfam family "Bacterial small subunit ribosomal RNA", at positions 524 to 776 of the family's 1533-position model. The record is from RNAcentral.